CCCCUCCUCUCUCUCUCUCUCUCUCCUCUUCUUCCUCUUUUGCUCUUUCUCUUUCAAUCAUAUCGAUCGCUUCUCUAUUUCAAUUUGGAUGGAAGAUUCCUCCUCAUGAUCUCUGCCGGAAUUGUUUGAUCGGAGCUUUCCUCGGCACAGGUUGUUUCUCUAGGAAAUCAUGGAUAAUGUGUGUUCCAUGGGCUGCUGCUAUGGAGGUCUCCAUAUCCGUGCUACUCGUGAUCUUCGCAUUACUACCAUGUGCUUCAAUAUCUCUUUGGAGAGACUGGUAACUCAAAUGUUUGAAUUGGGGAUGCCUUUGGUAGGUACAUAGCACUAGGUUCUUCAAAUGCUUGAGAUUCGUUAGAAAUCUUAGUGGGCUAUCCGUGACGAGAUCCUUGGUUGGUUCAUUUGAAGAAUCUACUGUCUGGUCGGUUCUUAUCAGGGAAGCCCUGUCAGAGAAUUGAUGGUUUUCUGGGUGUACUAUUACUGGGUGAAACUUCUCACCGCGAUCACAAAAGCUUCCUUUUUCAGUAACUAGUGUAGAAGGAGCUUGCUAGUUAUUGUAUCAUGCAUCCAUAAAUAUUGCCGGAAAUUCAGCAUUGAAUAGGAGUGGAGGACAAAAGCUGAAACGGGGACUAUGUAAUGAUGAUUCACAGAUUGUCAAGAGCCGCCUGCGCAUUCCUGUCAAGGGCCGGAUACAGCUGGUUCUAAGUAAUCCUGAAAAGACACCGAUUCAUACUUUCCUUUGCAACUAUGAUUUAAGAGACAUGCCGGCUGGUACCAAAACCUUCUUGCGCCAGAAGGUGACGUUAGCGUCUACCCCGACGUCCACUCAGCUGAGACAUGAGGAGACAGAUAUUGAUUCGAAAGUCAUAGACACAAGAGUACAGAAAGCAGCUGCAGUAGAGUAUACAACAAGAUCACUAGCUCAGAGAACUGAAUUUAAAAGUGAAUGCUCCAAUUUGAUAGAUUUAAUAGUUGAGGGUGAUAUGUCCAAGCUAUCCCCUAAAACAGAAAGGGUAGGAAUUCCUUGUUUCGUGGGGGUUGAGAAGAGGUUCAAUGGUGGUAAGGAGUGCCUGUGCAAUGAUGACAAGGACCACAACUGGGUUGAUGCACGCCAUGAAACUGACAGGAAACAAGCGGUUGGUUGUUCAAGAGUAAAUCAAAAAAAGAAUAGUGCGCUCUUCGUUAUGCACUGCAUCUCCGUUUCAUUUGCCCUCUUCCUCGAAAAGGUUCCAGGUCAGUUCAGAGAUGCAAAUCAGAUCCCUUGUGUGGAAUACAAAGAAGAAACUUAGAUAUGGAAGGGGAGCGGAGAUUCUCUACAAUGACUUGAGGGUUGUAUUCCCUCAGUGCCAGUCAGAUGCUGAUGAGGGCAAGUUAAACGUGGAAUACCAUUUCCCAGAGGAUCCAAAAUACUUCGACAUCGAGUGAAACGUAACUGAACUGACAACAUGCUCUGUUAUUUGUAUCCUUGAAUCUGCUUAUCUGGGUGUACAUAUAUUCACAUAUGGUUUCGUUUGCCAUGACUUGAUCUUUAGUCCUUGUUCCACCUUGUACAGAAUCAUAGUACUAAUAAUUGAGUUUUCAGAAAG
Fragaria vesca subsp. vesca is the source of this 1583-nucleotide RNA transcript. RefSeq lists it as uncharacterized. Lineage: Eukaryota; Viridiplantae; Streptophyta; Magnoliopsida; Rosales; Rosaceae. The record is from RefSeq and is a predicted model, not a curated record. The transcript is spliced from 6 exons.